AACAACUGAUGAGUGAAGACAGUCAGAGGCCAGGAAGUCACAAGGACCAGGACCACUUCUGCAGCGUUUUGUUUGUUGUUUUAGAAUUUUAUCUAAACAAGGAAGGUGUCUGGACAACUUUGUGCCCUUUGUCUUCAAGAACUGAGAACUGCAGCUGCUUUCCUACAUGUGCCAAGCUUUUCCAGAAAGGCACCAGAGGUGUUUCCAGGGCUCAGCCAUGCUUCUAGUCCUCAUCUCAUUCCUGGGGAUACAUUUUUUCCUGGGAGAGGUCCAAGCACAGUCAGUUACCCAGCCUGAUGCCCAUGUCACUGUCUUCGAAGGAGACUCAGUGGAGCUCAGAUGCAACUAUUCCUACAGUGGAACUCCUUACCUCUUCUGGUACAAGCAGAACCAUGACCAAGGCCUCCAACUUCUCCUCAGGUACUUUUCAGGAGAUCCUGUGGUUCAUGGAGUAAAUGGUUUUGAGGCUGAGUUUCAGAAGAGUAAAUCUUCCUUCCACUUGAAGAAGACCUCUGUGCACCUGAGCGAUUCAGCUGUGUACUUCUGUGUUGUGAGUGCACAGUGUCUGAGGCUGCAGGGGGAGCUGAACACAAACCUGUGAGAUGCUGGGGAGGACUGUAGCUGGUUGACUUUAGAUCAUCCAUGCUCCUGUAAG
This is a non-coding RNA of Peromyscus leucopus (white-footed mouse), 655 nucleotides long. Lineage: Eukaryota; Metazoa; Chordata; Mammalia; Rodentia; Cricetidae. The record is from the annotation of a RefSeq genome assembly.